Molecule: ribosomal RNA, 2946 nt
Filed under: Paenibacillus larvae subsp. pulvifaciens
Lineage: Bacteria; Bacillati; Bacillota; Bacilli; Caryophanales; Paenibacillaceae
Description: bacterial LSU rRNA
Rfam family: Bacterial large subunit ribosomal RNA
Source: RNAcentral
AGGUUAAGCUAGUAAGAGCACACGGAGGAUGCCUAGGCGCUAGGAGCCGAAGAAGGACGUGGCGAACAACGAUAUGCCCCGGGGAGUCGUAAGCAGACUUUGAUCCGGGGAUGUCCGAAUGGGGGAACCCGGCUGCGGUUAUGCGCAGUCACUCACUUCUGAAUCCAUAGGAAGUGAAGAGGCAGACCAGGGGAACUGAAACAUCUAAGUACCCUGAGGAGAAGAAAACAAUCGUGAUUCCGUCAGUAGCGGCGAGCGAAAGCGGAGGAGCCCAAACCAGAGAGCUUGCUCACUGGGGUUGUGGGACACCUUAUACGGAGUUACAAAGGAGCAGAUUAGGCGAAGAGGUCUGGAAAGGCCUGCCACAGAAGGUAACAGCCCUGUAGCUGAAAGUCUGCUCUCUCCAAGGUGGAUCCCGAGUACGGCGGGACACGGGAAACCCCGUCGGAAUCCGGCAGGACCAUCUGCCAAGGCUAAAUACUCCCUAGCGACCGAUAGUGAAGCAGUACCGUGAGGGAAAGGUGAAAAGCACCCCGGGAGGGGAGUGAAAGAGAACCUGAAACCGUGUGCUUACAAGAAGUCAGAGCCCUAUGAUUUUCUUCGGGAAAUCAGGGUGAUGGCGUGCCUUUUGUAGAAUGAACCGGCGAGUUACGCUUGCAUGCAAGGUUAAGGUGAAGAGCCGGAGCCGCAGCGAAAGCGAGUCUGAACAGGGCAAAUGAGUAUGUAGGCGUAGACCCGAAACCGUGUGAUCUACCCCUGUCCAGGGUGAAGGUGAGGUAACACUCACUGGAGGCCCGAACCCACGAAUGUUGAAAAAUUCGGGGAUGAGGUGGGGGUAGCGGAGAAAUUCCAAUCGAACUCGGAGAUAGCUGGUUCUCCCCGAAAUAGCUUUAGGGCUAGCCUCGGGUUAGAGUGAUGGAGGUAAAGCACUGAUUGGGUGCGGGGCCCGCCAAGGGUUACCAAGUCUAGUCAAACUCUGAAUGCCAUCCACUCGGUGCCCGGGAGUCAGACAGUGAGUGCUAAGAUCCAUUGUCAAGAGGGAAACAGCCCAGAUCAUCAGCUAAGGUCCCCAAGUGUGUGUUAAGUGGGAAAGGAUGUGGAGUUGCACAGACAACCAGGAUGUUGGCUUAGAAGCAGCCACCAUUUAAAGAGUGCGUAAUAGCUCACUGGUCGAGUGACUCUGCGCCGAAAAUGUAACGGGGCUAAAUACACCACCGAAGCUAUGGGUCCUAAUUAAGGGCAGUAGGGGAGCGUUCCAAGCAGCAGAGAAGGUUGACCGUGAGGACAGCUGGAGCGCUUGGAAGUGAGAAUGCCGGUAUGAGUAACGAAAAGAUCAGUGAGAAUCUGAUCCGCCGAAAGCCUAAGGGUUCCUGAGGAAGGUUCGUCCGCUCAGGGUAAGUCGGGACCUAAGGCGAGGCCGAAAGGCGUAGUCGAAGGACAACAGGCAGAAAUUCCUGUACCACCAAACACCGCUAUGAGCGAUGGGGUGACACAGUAGGGUAGGGACGCAAGCUGAUGGAAGUGCUUGUCCAAGCAGUGAGGCUGGUGUGCAGGCAAAUCCGCACACGAUGAAAGCCGGGCUGUGACGGGGAGUGAAAAUAGCAGUAGCGAAGGUCUUGAUCUCACACUGUCAAGAAAAGCCUCUAGCCAGGUGCAGGUGCCCGUACCGCAAACCGACACAGGUAGGCGAGAAGAGAAUUCUAAGGCGCGCGGAAGAACUCUCGUUAAGGAACUCGGCAAAAUGACCCCGUAACUUAGGGAGAAGGGGUGCCCCGGUAGAGUGAAUAGCUCGAGGGGGCCGCAGUGAAUAGGCCCAAGCGACUGUUUAGCAAAAACACAGGUCUAUGCGAAGCCGCAAGGCGAAGUAUAUGGGCUGACGCCUGCCCGGUGCUGGAAGGUUAAGGGGAGUGGUUAGGGCUUAAGGCCCGAAGCUAUGAACCGAAGCCCCAGUAAACGGCGGCCGUAACUAUAACGGUCCUAAGGUAGCGAAAUUCCUUGUCAGGUAAAUUCUGACCCGCACGAAUGGCGUAACGACUUGGGCGCUGUCUCAACGAGAGAUCCGGUGAAAUUUUAAUACCUGUGAAGAUGCAGGUUACCCGCGACAAGACGGAAAGACCCCAUGGAGCUUUACUGCAGCUUGAUAUUGGACUUUGGUACGAUCUGUACAGGAUAGGUGGGAGCCUAAGAAGCCGGAGCGCCAGCUUCGGUGGAGGCAGCGUUGGGAUACCACCCUGAUCGUAUCGGAGUUCUAACCCGGGACCGUGAACCGGUUCGGGGACAGUGUCAGGUGGGCAGUUUGACUGGGGCGGUCGCCUCCUAAAGAGUAACGGAGGCGCCCCAAGGUUCCCUCAGAAUGGUUGGAAAUCAUUCGAAGAGUGCAAAGGCAGAAGGGAGCUUGACUGCGAGACCUACAAGUCGAGCAGGGACGAAAGUCGGGCUUAGUGAUCCGGUGGUACCGCAUGGAAGGGCCAUCGCUCAACGGAUAAAAGCUACCCUGGGGAUAACAGGCUUAUCUCCCCCAAGAGUCCACAUCGACGGGGAGGUUUGGCACCUCGAUGUCGGCUCAUCGCAUCCUGGGGCUGAAGUAGGUCCCAAGGGUUGGGCUGUUCGCCCAUUAAAGCGGUACGCGAGCUGGGUUCAGAACGUCGUGAGACAGUUCGGUCCCUAUCUGUCGUGGGCGCAGGAAAUUUGAGAGGAGCUGUCCUUAGUACGAGAGGACCGGGAUGGACGUACCGCUGGUGUACCAGUUGUUCCGCCAGGAGCACAGCUGGGUAGCUAUGUACGGAAGGGAUAAGCGCUGAAAGCAUCUAAGCGUGAAGCCCGCCUCAAGAUGAGAUUUCCCAAGUAGUAAGACCCCUUGAAGACGACGAGGUAGAUAGGUUGGGGGUGGAAGCGCAGCAAUGCGUGGAGCUGACCAAUACUAAUCGGUCGAGGGCUUAUCCUAAA